This 70-nucleotide transfer RNA is filed under the name Camelus ferus (Wild Bactrian camel). It matches the Rfam family "tRNA". Rfam says of the family: Transfer RNA (tRNA) molecules are approximately 80 nucleotides in length. Their secondary structure includes four short double-helical elements and three loops (D, anti-codon, and T loops). Lineage: Eukaryota; Metazoa; Chordata; Mammalia; Artiodactyla; Camelidae. The record is from Rfam by way of RNAcentral.
GGGUAUAGUUCAGUGGUAGAAUGCAUGCUUAGCAUGCACGAGGUCCUGGGUUCAAUUUCCGGUAUAUCCA